This is a microRNA precursor of Oryza sativa Japonica Group (Japanese rice), 190 nucleotides long. It matches the Rfam family "MIR812 microRNA precursor family". The record is from Rfam. Lineage: Eukaryota; Viridiplantae; Streptophyta; Magnoliopsida; Poales; Poaceae.
AAAAACUCAAUUUCUGGGUUUCUGUGUCUAACGUUUGACUGUUUGUCUUAUUUGAAAAAAAUAUGAAAAAAUUUAAAAAGGUAAGCCAUGCAUAAAGUAUUAUUCAUGUUUUAUCAUCCAACAAUAAUGAAAAUACUAUUCAUAAAAAAAAUCAUAUAAGACGGACGGUCAAACAUUGGAUACGAAAACC